RNAcentral lists this ribosomal RNA (756 nucleotides) under Pseudomonas aeruginosa. RNAcentral's name for it is "bacterial SSU rRNA". It matches the Rfam family "Bacterial small subunit ribosomal RNA", at positions 17 to 768 of the family's 1533-position model. Lineage: Bacteria; Pseudomonadati; Pseudomonadota; Gammaproteobacteria; Pseudomonadales; Pseudomonadaceae. The record is from RNAcentral.
AUACAGCUCAGAUUGAACGCUGGCGGCAGGCCUAACACAUGCAAGUCGAGCGGAUGAAGGGAGCUUGCUCCUGGAUUCAGCGGCGGACGGGUGAGUAAUGCCUAGGAAUCUGCCUGGUAGUGGGGGAUAACGUCCGGAAACGGGCGCUAAUACCGCAUACGUCCUGAGGGAGAAAGUGGGGGAUCUUCGGACCUCACGCUAUCAGAUGAGCCUAGGUCGGAUUAGCUAGUUGGUGGGGUAAAGGCCUACCAAGGCGACGAUCCGUAACUGGUCUGAGAGGAUGAUCAGUCACACUGGAACUGAGACACGGUCCAGACUCCUACGGGAGGCAGCAGUGGGGAAUAUUGGACAAUGGGCGAAAGCCUGAUCCAGCCAUGCCGCGUGUGUGAAGAAGGUCUUCGGAUUGUAAAGCACUUUAAGUUGGGAGGAAGGGCAGUAAGUUAAUACCUUGCUGUUUUGACGUUACCAACAGAAUAAGCACCGGCUAACUUCGUGCCAGCAGCCGCGGUAAUACGAAGGGUGCAAGCGUUAAUCGGAAUUACUGGGCGUAAAGCGCGCGUAGGUGGUUCAGCAAGUUGGAUGUGAAAUCCCCGGGCUCAACCUGGGAACUGCAUCCAAAACUACUGAGCUAGAGUACGGUAGAGGGUGGUGGAAUUUCCUGUGUAGCGGUGAAAUGCGUAGAUAUAGGAAGGAACACCAGUGGCGAAGGCGACCACCUGGACUGAUACUGACACUGAGGUGCGAAAGCGUGGGGAG